Cryptotermes secundus is the source of this 550-nucleotide long non-coding RNA. RefSeq lists it as uncharacterized. The record is from RefSeq and is a predicted model, not a curated record. NCBI's taxonomy places the organism in Eukaryota, Metazoa, Arthropoda, Insecta, Blattodea, Kalotermitidae. The transcript is spliced from 2 exons.
CCACCGUGACGACCGUGACGUCAUGAACGGUCAUGAAAGCAAUACUGCUGCCACAAUAUUGGAGGCAAGUUUAUUGAUACAAAAUGGCUACCGCCAGUACUCUCCGCCCUGUCGGAUGUGACACCAAUUUGCCUCAUGGAAAGCUAUCAACACCUCCAAUUUCAGAGAAGAGCCUAGAAAUUAUCUACACAGACUACACAGCAUCUAUGCCAGAAGACAGGAAUCUUCAAAUCCACUGCCAUGAAGACCAUAUAUUUCACAAUUUCAGAUAGGUUAUUAAUAUUAAGUGUUUCUGAAAUCUAUUCAAUAAAAUAGCAGACAAGCUCUGUGUGGGAAGACAACUGAAAAAUGUAUCCCAUUAUGCAAUUGGUUUUCUUUUCCAUUGAACACCUUAUCUUUUAGGGUCAGUUUUUCAUAACUCUUUAAGAAAAGACAGCAUGUCCUAUUCCAUCGCAAUCGCCUCACAAUUGUUGGCAUCUUCACAUGUUUCUGAACUGGAAUGAUGAUAUACAAAUGUCGACUAAAAAUUUUAUUUCCUGCGACUACUACA